CCUACGGGUGGCAGCAGUGAGGAAUAUUGGUCAAUGGGCGCGAGCCUGAACCAGCCAAGUCGCGUGAGGGAAGACGGUCCUAUGGAUUGUAAACCUCUUUUGUCGAGGAGCAAAAGACGCCACGCGUGGCGUUCCGAGAGUACCCGAAGAAAAAGCAUCGGCUAACUCCGUGCCAGCAGCCGCGGUAAUACGGAGGAUGCGAGCGUUAUCCGGAUUUAUUGGGUUUAAAGGGUGCACAGGCGGAAGAUCAAGUCAGCGGUAAAAUUGAGAGGCUCAACCUCUUCGAGCCGUUGAAACUGGUUUUCUGGAGUGAGCGAGAAGUAGGCGGAAUGCGUGGUGUAGCGGUGAAAUGCAUAGAUAUCACGCAGAACUCCGAUUGCGAAGGCAGCAUACCGGCGCUCAACUGACGCUCAUGCACGAAAGUGUGGGUAUCGAACAGGAUUAGAUACCCUGGUAGUC
Molecule: ribosomal RNA, 459 nt
Filed under: uncultured bacterium
Lineage: Bacteria
Description: partial 16S ribosomal RNA
Rfam family: Bacterial small subunit ribosomal RNA
Source: RNAcentral